UUGAAGAGUUUGAUCAUGGCUCAGAUUGAACGCUGGCGGCAGGCCUAACACAUGCAAGUCGAACG
This 65-nucleotide ribosomal RNA is filed under the name Ochromonas sp. CCMP1393. Its description in RNAcentral is "partial Bacterial small subunit ribosomal RNA". The record is from RNAcentral. Lineage: Eukaryota; Chrysophyceae; Chromulinales; Chromulinaceae.